Linepithema humile (Argentine ant) is the source of this 668-nucleotide long non-coding RNA. RefSeq lists it as uncharacterized. The record is from RefSeq and is a predicted model, not a curated record. NCBI's taxonomy places the organism in Eukaryota, Metazoa, Arthropoda, Insecta, Hymenoptera, Formicidae.
AGAGAUUUUGAAAGGAAAUAUCCAGAACAUAAAGAUAAAUUGAUUUUAUCAUGAAACUUGCAUUUUGAGAAAUUUUACGAACUCUUAAAAAAAAAUACUUUCAACAGGAGAUCAACUCAAUGAAGUUCUUAUGCAGUCGCAAUCUUUGAAUUAUGACAGUAAAACAGUUCUUCAGAUCUGGAUUUUAGUAGCUAUCUUAGCUCCUAGAUCAACAAAAGUUAAUAUAAAAUCCGGAGAUCGCAGAAGAGUUUGGAAAGCUACAAUUUCUGAAAGCUGAGAUGGCUUCUUGUGCAUUGCAAGAUACCUGGAGAUAUUGAACAGAUAUGUAUUAAUAAACAAAACAAGAUGUCCCAGAUAAAUCUUACAAUGCAGCCCUUUAUCAUUGUGUUGGACCCGAAAUAACUCCGAUUGAAAAAGUAUGCUUGCAGAUUGACAAAACUAUGUAUGAAAUGCCAUCUGUAUUGAAGGCCGUUGAUGUAUAUUAUUUUCAAAAUAUUUAUCACCUUCAAUGCGUGUUAUCCAAAAGAGUGUGAAAAUUUUUGGUAUUUGAUUCAAUGGUGCGUCUAUGAAAUUCAUACAGCUUCGGAUCAAAAAAUUCCAUUCGUUUUGCAGUAUUCAAAAUAAAUUUAAACAAUUUAGUUAUUUUCUUACAUUUCGGGAUUUUUGAA